AGCGAACGCUGGCGGCAGGCCUAACACAUGCAAGUCGAGCGGCCGUAGCAAUACGGCAGCGGCAGACGGGAGAGUAACACGUGGGAACGUGCCCUUUGGUUCGGAAUAACGCAGGGAAACUUGCGCUAAUACCGAAUAAGCCCUUACGGGGAAAGAUUUAUCGCCAUUGGAGCGGCCCGCGUCUGAUUAGCUAGUUGGUGGGGUAACGGCUCACCAAGGCGACGAUCAGUAGCNGGUCUGAGAGGAUGAUCAGCCUCACUGGGACUGAGACACGGCCCAGACUCCUACGGGAGGCAGCAGUGGGGAAUAUUGGACAAUGGGCGCAAGCCUGAUCCAGCCAUGCCGCGUGGAUGAUGAAGGCCUUAGGGUUGUAAAGUCCUUUUAGCGGGGGAAGAUAAUGACGGUACCCGCAG
Molecule: ribosomal RNA, 413 nt
Filed under: uncultured bacterium
Lineage: Bacteria
Description: bacterial SSU rRNA
Rfam family: Bacterial small subunit ribosomal RNA
Source: RNAcentral